Molecule: ribosomal RNA, 300 nt
Filed under: Triticum aestivum (bread wheat)
Lineage: Eukaryota; Viridiplantae; Streptophyta; Magnoliopsida; Poales; Poaceae
Description: partial small subunit ribosomal RNA
Source: RNAcentral
AUGGACAUUCAACAUGCUGAAUUUUUGGCCUCGACAGUUUCUGCGGAUGGAUAUGCUGAGAAGAUAGACUUGAAACCGAGGACGGUUUCGUUUCAAGGGGGAGAGAAUGAUGUGGACAACACUAGUUCUAUUCGUACCGUCGACAACCAUGACAUGCAAGACGUUGGUCUGCUUCAAAUUAAGGCAGUUUCGCUCGUCACUGUUUGCGAUAACGUGAGGCGUCUUGAUAAGGAGAAAAUGAAGGUUGAAUUAGAAUCAAUGCUGCUGUGCCAAAAUACACAAUGCAUGCUUGGAUAUUAG